AAUUCUCAACCACUCCAGCCUUUGCGGGUUGGAUGUGGCUUGGAUGUUGGGGGUUUCUGCGGGCCUCUCUUUUGAGGUCGGCUCCCCUGAAAUGCAUUAGCGGAACCGUUUGCGGUCCGUCGCCGGUGUGAUAAUUAUCUACGCCAUAGACGAAGGCUGCUCUCUGUCUGUUCAGCUUCUAACUGUCCCCUGUGGACAACUUUUUGAAC
This 209-nucleotide unclassified non-coding RNA is filed under the name Lepiota cristata. RNAcentral describes it as "partial internal transcribed spacer 2". The record is from RNAcentral. Lineage: Eukaryota; Fungi; Basidiomycota; Agaricomycetes; Agaricales; Agaricaceae.